UCUCAUCAUCCAAUAGCUGAAUAGGGACAACAAUAAUGGCCUAGGUGAGAAACAUUGUUGGAGCUCUAUUCAUAGUGACCCUCAUCCUAGGAGCCCCAUGUGUGCUAGCAGGAGAAAUUGCUGAAAAGGUCAGCACGGUAGUUGCCAAGGCAGAUGACUGCAACAAGCAAUGUGAGGGUAAGGGGACGCCUGCCGACAUCGACCAUUGCAAGGAGAAGUGUAGCCUCACCGAGCACUUCAGUUAUGCGACCAUCGGUGUAGGUGCCUGCCGUCAGAACUGCGACAAGCUAAAGAAUGACCAAUCCUCCUUCAACUCGUGUGAAGAGAAAUGUCGUGAGAAGUAUGAGGGUAGGUUGUCACAGAUCAAACAGGGUCAGAAUCUUUAGGGAGGCAUGCCCAAAGUAUUAUCCAACGACAACCGAUAGACCACACUCACAUGGGUGAUGUGUCAACCCAACAUCAACAACCAUAUUUUUGCCCAAGGUGAACCGCUCGACAGCGAAGCCCCACGCAAUCCUUGUAAUGUCAUGUCUUUUUAUAAAUCUUUGUAGCUGGACUAUCAAGUUGGUUGAUAACAAUUGGUAGUUCUUUCCAUUGUCAAUGAAAUUAUUGUUGUAAUAAAUUCUAUUAAUUAAAAAAAUGUGCUAGCCUUUAGCAGUGGUUGAUUAUUUUUGUCUUUCCUUGUAAUACUUUCAGUGCACAUGAAGUUUUUCUAUAUGGGUAUAUAAUUUUGUGAAAGGAUCUGUGCACAUUGACAUUAAAUAAUUUCCUAGAUUGGGUGCAUUAGCAACUGAUGUAUUGUUCCGAUGGCUAUAUUUGUUAUUCACAUGCGAAAAAUGACUGAUGGUCAACAUUUUGUAUAGUAAAAGCAAGAAACCACUUUUGCAAAUGAAAUUUCCAUAGUGUCCACUAUUCCCGUAUUCCGAAGGAUAUAUCCUUGUUGUUAACUAAUGACAUGGUUGCCUCAUUUUAUUGAUUGGUUUAGUACUGAUGGUUGAAUGCAACCGACAGAGUGGGCAUAAGAAAAUUGAAGCGUUACUAGAUGCAUGGUUGACAAAAUACACGAAUGUUUCUCUACGAUGGAAAGCAUUCAAACCGAUGAGAAAUCAAACAUUAGUACAAAUAGUGUUUGAAAUUACAUCCCUAUGUACCAAAUUACUAGGGACAAGUAGGUAAACAUUACUUAGUAAAACAAGGUCUCAAAACAACUACUUACAUUAUUGCAUAUGAUCUAGAUAUCUUGACCAUCACUUCUGUAUGCCUCUUUCCUUAUGGGCAGUUUACAAGGGAGCAAUGUUUUGUUCGGGUAAUGCAUUAUGACACUCAAUGAUAUGCAACCAAUUUUGCCCAUGCUAAAGUUCAGAGAUAGUGGAAGAUCACUAGGUGGAGAGAAACAUGUUAGCCCACAUGGGUAGUGCCCAAUACUACUUUCACUUUAGUGUGUUACCCUAGAACGAGCUAAGAGCACCGUGACUCAGAGAAGGAAAAACUCAAAUAUGGAGCACUUAGCCACCAUGCGGAAGCAUCAUGUGCUUAUUAAAAGUGAAGUAGUUAACUUGUUAGUAUAUUUUUAAUGAAAAGUGCUCAAACAAUAAUCCUUUGUUUUGACUAAUUCUCAAAUUGUCUUUUCAUGAGGAGAAACUGGAUUUCUUAUGACCAGAGCAGUUGUUGUCAUGAUAUUGAGCUACUAUUGCCCUUGUCAACCCCAACCCUAACCAAAUAUAGAAGAGGUCAAUCAAAUCAUAGGGUGAAUACAUACAAGGUGAUAGCAAUGGUUUAGGAGCACAACAAAGAUUGAGAUGACUAUCAUAGGCUACAUGUGCAAAAAUUUAUUUUGGAAGAUUGAUGGUUAAUAUUUAUUGGACAAGGAGCCUAGCACAUGGCAAUGAUGGUUUGGUUUACGGAUAUACCAAAAAAGUUCUAAACCCAUACAUUGUUGCCAACAAUAAACUACUACUUCCGACUAAGCAUUGGCAAUUUGUUUCCACCAGCCAAAAUGGUUGAAACCCAUGCAUGGUUGCCAAGUGAACAACACCUAUGAGGUAAAGUGAAAGACAAAGAAAAUUGGAAGAUGGGCAUCCACUUACCACCAAAUGGUUCAGCGUGAAGCUCUCGUAGCCUCACACCCUUGCCUAAUUUAUGUCCUCCCCUCCACUAUAUAUAAAGGAUGACACAGUAGCUCCAUGAGUAAACCCAUCUCAUCAUCCAAUAGCUGAAUAUGGACAACAAUAAUGGCCCAGGUGAGAAACAUUGUUGGAGCUCUAUUCAUAGUGACCCUCAUCCUAGGAGCCCCAUGUGUGCUAGCAGGAGAAAUUGCUGACAAGGUCAGCAAGGUAGUUGCCAAGGCAGAUGUCUGCAAUAAGCAAUGUGAGGGUAAGGGGACGCCUGCCGACAUCGACCAUUGCAAGGAAAAGUGUAGCCUCACCGAGCACUUCAGUUAUGCGUCCAUCGGUGUAGGUGCCUGACGUCAGAACUGCGACAAGCUAAAGAAUGACCAAUCCUCCUUCAACUCGUGUGAAGAGAAAUGUCGUGAGAAGUAUGAGGGUAGGUUGUCACAGAUCAAACAGGGUCAGAAUCUUUAGGGAGGCAUGCCCAAAGUAUUAUCCAACCACAACCAAUAGACCACCCUCACAUGGGUGAUGUGUCAACCCAACAUCAACAACCAUAUUUUUGCCCAAGGUGAACCGCUUGAAAGCGAAGCCCCACACAAUCUUUGUAAUGUCAUGUCUUUUAUAAAUCUUUGUAGCUGGACUAUCAAGUUGGCUGAUAACAAUUGGUAGUUCUUUCCAUUGUCAAUGAAAUUAUUGUUGUAAUAAAUUCUAUUAAUUAAAAAAUGUGCUAGCCUUUAGCAGUGGUUGAUUAUUUGUGUCUUUCACAUGUAGUUUUUCUGUAUGGGUAUAUAAUUUUUGUGAAAGGAUCUGUGCGCAUUAACAUUAAAUAAUUUCCUAGAUUGGGUGCAUUAGCAACUGAUUUAUUGUUCCGACGGCUAUAUUUGUUAUUCGCAUGCGAAAAAUGACUGAUGGUCAACACUUAGUAUAGUAAAAGCACAAAACCACUUUUGCAAAUGAAAUUUCCAUAGUGUCCACUAUUCUCGUAUUCCUAAGGAUAUAUCUUUGUCGUUAACUAAUGACAUGGUUUUAGUACUGAUGGUUGAAUGCAGCCGAUAGAGUGGGCAUAAGAAAAUUGAAGCGUUACUAGAUGCAUGGUUGACAAAAUACACGAAUGUUUCUCUACGAUGGAAAGUAUUCAAACCGAUGAGAAAUCAAACAUUAGUACAAAUAGUGUUUGAAAUUACUUCCCUAUGUACCAAAUUGCUAGGGACAAGUAGGGAAGCGUUACUUUGUAAAACAAGGCCUCAAAACAACUACUUACAUUAUUGCAUAUGAUCUAGAUAGCAUGGCCAUCACUUCUGCAUGCCUCUUUCCUUAUGGUCAGUUUACGAGGGAGCAAUGUUUUGUUCGGGUAAUGCGUUAUGACACUCAAUGAUAUGCAACAAAUUUCGGCCGUGCUAAAGUUCAGAGAUAGUGGAAGAUCAUUAGGUGGAGAGAAACAUGUUAGCCCACAUGGGUAAUGCCCAAUACUACUUUCACUUUAGUGUGUUACCCUAGAACGAGCUAAGAGCACCAUGACUCAGAGAAGGAAAAACUCAAAUAUGGAGCACUUAUCCAACAUGCGGAAGCAUCAUGUGCUUAUUAAAAGUGAAUUAGUUAACUUGUUAGUAUAAGUUUAAUGAAAAGUGCUCAAACAAUAAUCCUUUGUUUUAAUUAAUUCUCAAAUUGUCUUUUCAUGAGGAGAAACUGGAUUUCUUAUGACUAGAGCAGUUGUUGUCAUGAUAUUGAGCUACUAUUGCCCUUGUGAACCCCAACCCUAACCAAAUAUAGAAGAGGUCAAUCAAAUCAUAGGGUGAAUACAUAAAAGGUGAUAGCAAUGGUUUAGGAGCACAACAAAGAUUGAGAUGACUAUCAUAGGCUACACGUGCAAAAAAAUUAUUUUGGAAGAUUGAUGGUUAAUAUUUAUUGGACAAGGAGCCUAGCACACGGCAAUGAUGGUUUGGUUUACGGAUAUACCAAAAAAGUUCUAAACCCAUACAUUGUUGCCAACAAUAAACUACUACUUCCCACUAAGCAUUGGCAAUUUGUUUCCACCAACCAAAGUGGUUUAAACCCAUGCAUGGUUGCCAAGUGAACAACACCUAUGAGGUAAAGUGAAAGACAAAGAAAAUUGGAAGAUGGGCAUCCACUUACCACCAAAUGGUUCAGCGUGAAGCUCUCGUAGCCUCACACCCUUGCCUAAUUUAUGUCCUCCCCUCCACUAUAUAUAAAGGAUGACACAGUAGCUCCAUGAGUAAACCUGUCUCAUCAUCCAAUAGCUGAAUAGGGACAACAAUAAUGGCCCAGGUGAGAAAUAUUGUUGGAGCUCUAUUCAUAGUGACCCUCAUCCUAGGAGCCCCAUGUGUGCUAGCAGGAGAAAUUGCUGACAAGGUCAGCACGGUAGUUGCCAAGGCAGAUGUCUGCAAUAAGCAAUGUGAGGGUAAGGGGACGCCUGCCGACAUCGACCAUUGCAAGGAGAAGUGUAGCCUCACCGAGCACUUCAGUUAUGCAACCAUCGGUGUAGGUGCCUGCCGUCAGAACUGCGACAAGCUAAAGAAUGACCAAUCCUCCUUCAACUCGUGUGAAGAGAAAUGUCGUGAGAAGUAUGAGGGUAGGUUGUCACAGAUCAAACAGGGUCAGAAUCUUUAGGGAGGCUGAUAUGACCACGCCAGUAAGCAAGAUGUCACAAGCUCAAAGUGAAGCUACAACCACUCAAGUUUUAC
This 4813-nucleotide long non-coding RNA is filed under the name Sorghum bicolor (sorghum). Its description in RNAcentral is "long non-coding RNA (SBIC_LNC016904)". The record is from RNAcentral. Lineage: Eukaryota; Viridiplantae; Streptophyta; Magnoliopsida; Poales; Poaceae.